CGCGGGGUGGAGCAGCCUGGUAGCUCGUCGGGCUCAUAACCCGAAGGUCGCGGGUUCAAAUCCCGCCCCCGCUACCA
RNAcentral lists this transfer RNA (77 nucleotides) under Acidimicrobiia bacterium. Its description in RNAcentral is "tRNA-Met". It matches the Rfam family "tRNA". From Rfam's summary of the family: Transfer RNA (tRNA) molecules are approximately 80 nucleotides in length. Their secondary structure includes four short double-helical elements and three loops (D, anti-codon, and T loops). The record is from RNAcentral. RNAcentral also lists the same sequence under 1 other name. Lineage: Bacteria; Bacillati; Actinomycetota; Acidimicrobiia.